AAGGAAUAUUGGUCAAUGGACGCAAGUCUGAACCAGCCAUGCCGCGUGAAGGAUGAAGGUCCUCUGGAUUGUAAACUUCUUUUAUCUGGGACGAAAACGGGAUUUUUAUCUCAAUUGACGGUACCAGAGGAAUAAGCACCGGCUAACUCCGUGCCAGCAGCCGCGGUAAUACGGAGGGUGCGAGCGUUAUCCGGAUUUACUGGGUUUAAAGGGUGCGUAGGUGGGCUUAUAAGUCAGUGGUGAAAUCUCCGAGCUUAACUUGGAAACUGCCGUUGAUACUAUAGGUCUUGAAUUAUCUGGAGGUAAGCGGAAUAUGUCAUGUAGCGGUGAAAUGCUUAGAUAUGACAUAGAACACCAAUUGCGAAGGCAACUUACUACAUAUAAAUUGACGCUGAGGCACGAAAGCGUGGGGAUCAAACA
This 420-nucleotide ribosomal RNA is filed under the name uncultured bacterium. RNAcentral's name for it is "bacterial SSU rRNA". It matches the Rfam family "Bacterial small subunit ribosomal RNA", at positions 356 to 774 of the family's 1533-position model. The record is from RNAcentral.